CCCUUAGAUGUUCUGGGCCGCACGCGUGCUACACUGAGUGGAUCAGCGGGUCAGGUUGCGCGAAAGCGUUUCCUAAUCUUUAAAUCCGCUCGUGAUGGGGAUUGACGGUUGCAAUUUUCUGUCAUGAACGAGGAAUACCUUGUAAGCGCGGGUCAUCAUCCCGCGCUGAAUACGUCCCUGCCCUUUGUACACACCGCCCGUCGCUCCUACCGAUUGAGUGGUCCGAUGAGGCUUUGGGAUCUGAGCGGAAAGAGCGUUUCGCUGUUUCUGCUCGGAAAACUCAGUCGAACCUUAUCAUUUAGAGGAAGGAGAAGUCGUAACA
RNAcentral lists this ribosomal RNA (322 nucleotides) under uncultured eukaryote. Its description in RNAcentral is "partial 18S ribosomal RNA". It matches the Rfam family "Eukaryotic small subunit ribosomal RNA", at positions 1470 to 1796 of the family's 1831-position model. The record is from RNAcentral.